AAGGAUCAUUAUCGAGUGAAGGGCUCUAUUGAGUCCGACCUCCCAACCCUUGUAUUCUUUACCACUUUGCUUCGGCGGGCCCGUCGCUGCUGUGACCGCCGAAGGGUUAUGUUUUCUUAACUAACCUUUGGGCCCGUGCCCGCCGGAGAUAUCUGAAUUCUUGUUAUGAAUAGGUUGUCUGAGUUAAAAAGAAAAUAAAGUUUAAAACUUUCAACAACGGAUCUCUUGGUUCCGGCAUCGAUGAAGAACGCAGCGAAAUGCGAUAAGUAAUGUGAAUUGCAGAAUUCCGUGAAUCAUCGAAUCUUUGAACGCACAUUGCGCCCUCUGGUAUUCCGGAGGGCAUGCCUGUCCGAGCGUCAUUGCUCUACCUCAAGCCCGGCUUGUGUGUUGGGUCUACCGUCCAGAGGGACGGUGACCCGAAAGGCAGUGGCGGCGUCGCGUCCCGGUCCUUAAAGCGUAUGGGGCUUUGUCACCCGCUUGGAGGCCCGGCCGACCCCGUAGCCCAUCGUAGAUUUUCCAGAUCUAUUUCUGAUGGACCUCGGAUCAGGUAGGGAUACCCGCUGAACUUAAGCAUAUCAAUAAGCGGAGGAAAAGAAACCAACAGGGAUUGCCUUAGUAACGGCGAGUGAAGCGGCAAGAGCUCAAAUUUGAAAUCUGGCCUCUUUGGGGUCCGAGUUGUAAUUUGGAGAGGAUGCUUCGGGUUCAGCCCCCAUCUAAGUGCCCUGGAACGGGCCGUCAUAGAGGGUGAGAAUCCCGUCUGGGAUGGGUGGCUGUGCCCAUGUGAAGCUCCUUCGACGAGUCGAGUUGUUUGGGAAUGCAGCUCUAAAUGGGUGGUAAAUUUCAUCUAAAGCUAAAUAUUGGCCGGAGACCGAUAGCGCACAAGUAGAGUGAUCGAAAGAUGAAAAGCACUUUGAAAAGAGAGUGAAACAGCACGUGAAAUUGUUGAAAGGGAAGCGCUUGCAACCAGACUCGCCUGGAGAGGCUCCACCGGUACCUGUACCGGUUCACUCCUCCCCUGGCGGGCCAGCGUCGGUUUGGGCGGUUGGUUAAAGGCUCCCGGAAUGUAUCGCCCUCCGGGGCGUCUUAUAGCCGGGAGUGCCAUGCAACCAGCCCAGACCGAGGAACGCGCUUCGGCUCGGACGCUGGCAUAAUGGUUGUAAGCGGCCCGUCUUGAAACACGGACCAAGGAGUCUAACAUCUAUGCGAGUGUUCGGGUGUUAAACCCGUCCGCGCAGUGAAAGCGAACGGAGGUGGGAACCCCUUGGGUGCACCAUCGACCGAUCCUGAUGUCUUCGGAUGGAUUUGAGUAAGAGCAUAGCUGUUGGGACCCGAAAGAUGGUGAACUAUGCCUGAAUAGGGCGAAGCCAGAGGAAACUCUGGUGGAGGCUCGCAGCGGUUCUGACGUGCAAAUCGAUCGUCAAAUUUGGGUAUAGGG
Molecule: unclassified non-coding RNA, 1435 nt
Filed under: Eurotiales sp. KO-groupF 2014
Lineage: Eukaryota; Fungi; Ascomycota; Eurotiomycetes; Eurotiales
Description: partial contains ITS1, 5.8S rRNA, ITS2 and LSU
Rfam family: Eukaryotic large subunit ribosomal RNA (bases 534-1435)
Source: RNAcentral